This 357-nucleotide unclassified non-coding RNA is filed under the name Ascomycota sp. RNAcentral's name for it is "partial contains small subunit ribosomal RNA, internal transcribed spacer 1, and 5.8S ribosomal RNA". The stretch from base 1 to 47 matches the Rfam family "Eukaryotic small subunit ribosomal RNA", at positions 1785 to 1831 of the family's 1831-position model. The record is from RNAcentral. Lineage: Eukaryota; Fungi; Ascomycota.
AAAGUCGUAACAAGGUUUCCGUAGGUGAACCUGCGGAAGGAUCAUUAAAAAAUGUCACGGGGCCUCUCAUUUCUGCAGCAAUGUGGUCUUGAGAGUGUCACGGUACUACAUCACUUUGACCCCGCCCGCUAAUUCCGAAAGGCGUUAGCUAAGGUUGGGGGAUAAUGUGUCCACCCUCUUGUGAAACUUCUAUAUUUGCUUCGGCAGCACUCCCAGCGGGCAACCGUUGGUGGGAUAAGGCUGUCAGAAGACCCCCAAUUAUAAAAUUAGUAUUGAUGAAAUGUCAUGCAGUCUGAUAACUAUUCUUUGAGAAAUCAAAUUAUGUUAAAACUUUCAGCAACGGAUCUCUUGGUUCUC